This 469-nucleotide ribosomal RNA is filed under the name uncultured Rhodocyclaceae bacterium. RNAcentral describes it as "bacterial SSU rRNA". It matches the Rfam family "Bacterial small subunit ribosomal RNA", at positions 8 to 477 of the family's 1533-position model. Lineage: Bacteria; Pseudomonadati; Pseudomonadota; Betaproteobacteria; Rhodocyclales; Rhodocyclaceae. The record is from RNAcentral.
AGAGUUUGAUCCUGGCUCAGAUUGAACGCUGGCGGCAUGCCUUACACAUGCAAGUCGAACGGUAGCGGGCCUUCGGGUGCCGACGAGUGGCGAACGGGUGAGUAAUGCAUCGGAACGUGCCAUUGAGUGGGGGAUAACGUAGCGAAAGUUACGCUAAUACCGCAUAUUCUGUGAGCAGGAAAGCAGGGGACCGCAAGGCCUUGCGCUCUUUGAGCGGCCGAUGUCGGAUUAGCUAGUUGGCGGGGUAAAGGCCCACCAAGGCGACGAUCCGUAGCGGGUCUGAGAGGAUGAUCCGCCACACUGGGACUGAGACACGGCCCAGACUCCUACGGGAGGCAGCAGUGGGGAAUUUUGGACAAUGGGGGCAACCCUGAUCCAGCCAUGCCGCGUGAGUGAAGAAGGCCUUCGGGUUGUAAAGCUCUUUCGGCCGGGAAAAAAUCGCCUCUCCGAAUACGGGGGGUGGAUGAUG